AUGCGGUCGUUUGAAGUUUUGUUGGCCGAAGUAAUGGUGCAAGAUUUGGAUGGUUUAAAGGUUUUUGGAAGCAACAAAAGCAUAGCAAUAGCAGCAUUUUGGACAAUGACAAGUUUUUUGGCAGAAUUGCAGCAGGGGAAGCAGCAUGACCUUGAAGGUUUUGGGCAGCAUUGCAGCAGGGGCAGUAACAUGACCUUGCAUGCUUUGGGCAACAUUGCAGCAGAGAUGAUUUUGGUGAAGAGUUGA
Vicia faba (fava bean) is the source of this 246-nucleotide non-coding RNA. The record is from the annotation of a GenBank genome assembly. Lineage: Eukaryota; Viridiplantae; Streptophyta; Magnoliopsida; Fabales; Fabaceae.